AUGAACGCUGGCGGCGUGCCUAAUACAUGCCAGUCGAGCGAACGGACGAGAAGCUUGCUUCUCUGAUGUUAGCGGCGGACGGGUGAGUAACACGUGGAUAACCUACCUAUAAGACUGGGAUAACUUCGGGAAACCGUAGCUAAUACCGGAUAAUAUUUUGAACCGCAUGGUUCAAAAGUGAAAGACGGUCUUGCUGUCACUUAUAGAUGGAUCCGCGCUGCAUUAGCUAGUUGGUAAGGUAACGGCUUACCAAGGCAACGAUGCAUAGCCGACCUGAGAGGGUGAUCGGCCACACUGGAACUGAGACACGGUCCAGACUCCUACGGGAGGCAGCAGUAGGGAAUCCUCCGCAAUGGGCGAAAGCCUGACGGAGCAACGCCGCGUGAGUGAUGAAGGUCUUCGGAUCGUAAAACUCUGUUAUUAGGGAAGAACAUAUGUGUAAGUAACUGUGCACAUCUUGACGGUACCUAAUCAGAAAGCCACGGCUAACUACGUG
RNAcentral lists this ribosomal RNA (496 nucleotides) under uncultured bacterium. RNAcentral's name for it is "partial 16S ribosomal RNA". It matches the Rfam family "Bacterial small subunit ribosomal RNA", at positions 29 to 507 of the family's 1533-position model. The record is from RNAcentral.